UACGGAGGGGGCUAGCGUUGUUCGGAAUCACUGGGCGUAAAGCGCACGUAGGCCGACGGUUAAGUCGGGGGUGAAAGCCUGGAGCUCAACUCCAGAACUGCCUCCGAUACUGGUCGUCUUGAGUCCGAGAGAGGUGAGUGGAAUUCCCAGUGUAGAGGUGAAAUUCGUAGAUAUUGGGAAGAACACCAGUGGCGAAGGCGGCUCACUGGCUCGGUACUGACGCUGAGGUGCGAAAGCGUGGGGAGCAAAC
This 250-nucleotide ribosomal RNA is filed under the name uncultured bacterium. RNAcentral describes it as "partial 16S ribosomal RNA". It matches the Rfam family "Bacterial small subunit ribosomal RNA", at positions 524 to 773 of the family's 1533-position model. The record is from RNAcentral.